UAUGGUCGACCUGCAGGCGGCCGCGAAUUCACUAGUGAUUAGAGUUUGAUCAUGGCUCAGAACGAACGCUGGCGGCAUGCCUAACACAUGCAAGUCGAACGAACCCUUCGGGGUUAGUGGCGCACGGGUGCGUAACGCGUGGGAAUCUGCCCUUGGCUUCGGAAUAACAGUUAGAAAUGACUGCUAAUACCGGAUGAUGUCUUCGGACCAAAGAUUUAUCGGCCAGGGAUGAGCCCGCGUAGGAUUAGGUAGUUGGUGGGGUAAAGGCCUACCAAGCCGACGAUCCUUAGCUGGUCUGAGAGGAUGAUCAGCCACACUGGGACUGAGACACGGCCCAGACUCCUACGGGAGGCAGCAGUGGGGAAUAUUGGACAAUGGGCGCAAGCCUGAUCCAGCAAUGCCGCGUGAGUGAUGAAGGCCUUAGGGUAGUAAAGCUCUUUUACCCGGGAUGAUAAUGACAGUACCGGGAGAAUAAGCUCCGGCUAACUCCGUGCCAGCAGCCGAGGUAAUACGAAUCGAAUUCCCGCGGC
Molecule: ribosomal RNA, 530 nt
Filed under: uncultured Alphaproteobacteria bacterium
Lineage: Bacteria; Pseudomonadati; Pseudomonadota; Alphaproteobacteria
Description: bacterial SSU rRNA
Rfam family: Bacterial small subunit ribosomal RNA
Source: RNAcentral